Molecule: long non-coding RNA, 1452 nt
Organism: Cyclopterus lumpus (lumpfish)
Lineage: Eukaryota; Metazoa; Chordata; Actinopteri; Perciformes; Cyclopteridae
Exons: 3
Source: RefSeq, a predicted model, not a curated record
ACCAAUCACAGGCAACCUUCAGACACCACCAAUCAUCCUAAAAACACUAAAAGUCACACAACAGCAAAAACUAAACACUGGCUUCUUGUUUUCAAAUUCGGUAUCAGACACCUGUGGUUAAGGCCUUUAUUGAACCGUCUUGACAAGGUGACCCUGCUGGAGUCCAGCGGGCGUGUUGGAGGGCGGGUGGAAACCUACAGGAAUGAAGAGGAGGGCUGGUACGCUGAGCUGGGGGCCAUGAGGAUCCCAAGUACCCACCGCAUCACAGCAGUCUUCCUGCUCUGUAGGAACAGCAUCGGUAAAACCAAACAGCUGGGCAGACUGAACCAGAAUCCAGAUGUCUUCACCAAACACUCGACGCUGUAGUCCAGCAGAUCUGAUUGGUCUAGAGCGAGACAGGCUCAGGUAGAUGACGGGAUGAACGACAGCCAGGUAGCGCUCCACACAGGUCAGGAUGUGAAAGCCUAUCUGGCCAGUGACAGUAAUAGAAGACGCACAAAACCCCACUUCGGUGAGCUCUGAGAGGUCAGUAUAGAUGCCACAAAAGGCGAUCAAAGUCCCAAACACAUAGAGGAGCUCCAUAGCCGCCGCGUAGAAGGUGAAGACGUCCGAGUGCCUCGUCGGUGCAGAAGAGCUCUGCCGCCAUUGUUGGUAACCCAGGUAGAGGAUGAGGAUGUUGAGGGGGAGGAUGAGCAGGAUCUUUGUGAUGUUGAAGGCAAUGCUCAUGAAAACUACAGCUUCGAUGUCUACGCAGGAGUAAUGGUCGGAAGAAGAGUUGACGGACAUAUUGGUCCUUAUGCUUUUGCUUUUAUGAUGAAAAGGGAGAAAGAAAGUGAGAAACUAAUUAAUUAAGACAAUGAGACAACAAUCACCUUCGAUAAAAAAAUUAUUAAAGUGAUUUGAAACAUUCAUUGUACAGUUAUUUUGCAUAUGAAGCAGCAUAUACUGUCUACAAAGCAGCAUAUACUGUAUAUUUUCUAUAAUAUUGCAGAUUUUCUAUUGUAUACAGACUUACUAACUGCAACUUUAAAAAUGUGCUCAGGAAAACCUUAAAUAGCAUCGAGAAAAGUUUUCGUUCACACAAUCUGUCGUAACAUGAGGAGUUUUGGUUAAAAAUGAAUAAUUUGGUCAUGAUAUGUUACAAUAACAGAAAAAUUAAGUUAUGGUACAACGUGAAUGAGUUUCUAAAGUGUCAUGCAAGAAACGUUAUGGAAGUCAUUGUUGCUAAAUAAAAGAUGAAAUACUUAGACCGGCUUACGAUCUCAUAAUCUAUACUUAAAUGUGUUUAUUCUUCAAUUGGUAGUUACUUUUCAUGAUUUAUUUUACUUGUUGAGCCAGUCAUGCUUCUGUAUAAUGUUGCUAUUAAUAAUAAUAAUGCAUUUUAUUUGUAACACACUUUACAUUCAAAAGAAUCUCAGAGUGCCACAUAGUAAAAAAACAAAAAAACAUAAU